Molecule: ribosomal RNA, 345 nt
Filed under: Triticum aestivum (bread wheat)
Lineage: Eukaryota; Viridiplantae; Streptophyta; Magnoliopsida; Poales; Poaceae
Description: partial small subunit ribosomal RNA
Source: RNAcentral
AUGAAGGGGCUAUUGCUUCUGACGAUACGUCAUGUAAAUCUGCAUCAUGAAAUUUAUAUUUAUAUCUAUAUUUGUAUCUGUAGCCCACUAGCUAUUGCUUCCAACUUUUCUACCUAUUUUUAUGUAAAUUUUCUUUUAUUGGGCAGAUUUAAAUACUUUUUAAAAUAUCCAUUUCUUUCCAAUACUAACUCAAAAUCUGACAUAUUAUAUAUGAAAACUCCUCAGAAAAAUGUGCCGAUUUCAAAUAUGCUAUUUUCAUGCAUGGCAAUCAUUUUUUUAAAUCCCAUUUUCCUUCUUUUUUUAAUUAUUUUAUCAGGUAGAUUCCAAUACUUUUUAAAAUAUUGA